This 3635-nucleotide long non-coding RNA is filed under the name Mytilus galloprovincialis (Mediterranean mussel). The record is from RNAcentral. Lineage: Eukaryota; Metazoa; Mollusca; Bivalvia; Mytilida; Mytilidae.
AUUUUCAACCUUGCGGUGCUUUGUCUUGCUAUCAACAUACGAUUUGACAAAAUAUUUGGAAACUUAGAUAUUCAAAAACUAUUCUCCAGAAUAAACAUUACUGAUCAUACCUUAACAAGUGCUCUCAACACGUUUUCCAUUGUGACUGUAACUUUUUCAUCUCUAUCAAUAGCAGUUGUUAUACUUUCAUACGUUGUCAUGGCCAUACCAAAAUGGAAGUCAAUCCCCAGGUUUGUCGUAAGUAUUUAUUAUGUAUGCUCUUUACUUUAUAAUUUGAAAACAAAUAUUUUCCUUCGAUGUUUUAAGUAACCGCGAAUUUCGUGUAUCAUUGGCGUAACUCAAGGUUAAAAAAAUAAAUUUCUAAGAAGGCUGUAUUUACAAAUUCGAAGAAGGCUAAUAAUAUUAUUGACAUAACCUAUAUGGUUUGAUCAUGACGAUUGAGAUGCCAGUUAAAUGUCCUAUCGUAUAGUAUUACAUAAAAAGAAAUAUCAAUACUCGAGCAUGUACAAUCUUUUUGAAUUUUAGGUCAUAAAUGCUUUUAGUCUUUGUACUAGCUUGUUUGGCUAUUUUGAUCUAAGCGUCACUGAUGCGUCUUAUGUAGACGACACGCGCGUCUGGCGUACAAAAUGAUAAGCCAAAUACAUUUGAUAACUAUACACGUACAAUUACGAUUUACCUUGGUCUGCUUUAUUUCAUUAAUGCCAUUAUGAAUAUAAUGAUGUAAAAUGAAUAUUAUCAAUCCAUUCUGAUUUAACUGGAUAUGUUCCUCAUGUCGUAACUACAAACCCGUUCCCUUUUCACGAAUUUGACUUACCGAUUUAUACUAUUUACCGGGUUUGUAAUAACAUGAGCAACACGACGGGUGACCCAUUUGGACAGGAUCUGCUUACCAUACGGAGCACCUGAGAUCACUCCAGUUCUGGUUGGGAUUCGUGUUGCUUAGUCUGUCGUGUUCUAUGUUGUGUCUUUUGUACUAUUAUUUGUCCGGUUGUCUUUUUCUGUUUAAGCCAUGCCAAUGUCAGUUUAUUUCGAUCAAAGGGUUUAAUUGUCCCUCUGGUAAUUUUCGCCACUUUGUUUUUUGAUUAAACAAUAAUUACAGUUGUAUAAUUAAAACUUGAAUAACGAUUGUAUAAUUUUAAAAUUUCAAAAUUCACAUAGGUUAAGUGAUUACAGCAGAAAAUGAAUAGAUAUUCAUCAGAAAUUAAAGUGAUACAUUUACAUAAUAUGAACAUGUUCAAUUUUAAAAUUGUUCAGGUAACGGAAGUUCUGUUUUCAAAAGAAAAUGCGGAGCAAUUGUAGAAAAAGUAAGAUAACAAAAUUAGCGCACUGCAAAGAAAAUUAAAAACGGAAAGUCAAAAAUCAAUAUCUCAAAACAAUCAGGACAGAGAAUUAAGAAAUAACCUAAUAGUUAACCACAGAAUAAAACGGACAUCUCCCAGGAAUUAACGACAGUAUACACGAACACCCCAAAUAGAGUUUGAAAUGUGCGUCCCACCAACAUAUUCACACAAAAAAGGUAAGGUAUGUUUUUGUGAAAAUCAUAUUAUCGCAUGUAAAUUUCUAAAAAAUGUAGAAGCUAAAGGACGCCUCAAGAUGCGUGAAUUUUUGGCUGCAUUGAAGACCUGUUGGUGACCUUCUCCUGUUGUCUGUUCCUCUAUUGUCGGGUUGUUUUCUCUUUGACACAUUCGCCAUUUCCAUUGUCAAUUUUAUAGAUCAGAUUUAAUGUAGACACAUAUUAGAUUGUUUUUUUGUUACUUUUUAAUCGUGUUAUUGGAUGUAUUUUCUAAUUUUAUCGAGAAUAUUAUAAUGGAAUUGUGUUUUUUAUGGUGUUAUAAUUUGUAUUUUAUGACCUUAUUGAGUUUUUUUCUAAAUCAAAACUGUGUAUAUAAACAAAAUUCUGUGCAUAUUAUACUAUACAUGAAAUAGCUGAUUAAUUAUCUUAAAUUUUAUAUACGUAUAGAAAAAAUAACUGUUAUAUAAGACAAGAUAUUGUAAUAUCAAACAGUAAAAACACUAUGAAACAAAAACACUGUAGAAGAACCGAUAGUAACUCAUAUUUGGAAAAAGGUCGACAAUUUAACUUUUGUUAUCUGUGAAAUUUUAGAAAUGUACAUGUGCUUGUUGCUCAUUACUAUUACUUUGAAUGGCAUAUAUGCAGUCACUGUUUUAAAUAGGUUUACUUACGUCAUUUGUUGAAAUUCAAGAAUUAUGGUUUCAAUUUUGUAACUAUAAAGAUUGUUUUAGUUAAAUCAAAAUAGAUUGAUACGAUACAUUUUAUAUCUUCAUAAUCAUACUGAUAAAUAAUAUAACAAUAUUGCAACGUAAAUGGCUUUUCGUGUGUAAAAUUAUUUUUCUUUCAUAAUCUGUCUAAUGACAUUAUACCCCGCUAGCUCAGCCGUUUACGUUACUGGUAGAGAGGGUUCGGCCUGUGCUUUCGCUCCAGGACUUUUGACAGCAUACUGACAAUACAACGAAACAGUAAAUUCAAUAAAUGACAGUAUAAGAAACCUAAAAUGACAGUGAUGACGAUUUGCCAACAUGUAUUUGCUAUAUAACAAAUGACCAAAAUUCAUAAAACAGUUUCAUAUUUAAUAGACAAAGACAACAUAACUACAUAAAUAUCGCGGUAUCUCCAUGUGAAAUUAUCAAUUCAGAAUUUCAAUACAUUUUCGAACUUCCCCUUUUUGGACAAACGAUGCGGUGAAAAAUACUCAUUACCAGUUAACCAAUUCAAAGACGCGUUUGGCCUAAGUGUUAUCUAAUUAAAUAAAAUAAAAUGAUACUAGAAUUUGGAGGUGUCCGUUUACUUAAAAUAUUGAGAGCUGUACACUAGUCGUCUUUAGAUAAAAUAUCAUCCAAUCAAUCAAGUUGUGACGUUAACCUUCCGGGGAACAAAAAUCGAUUCAGUAAAAAACAUGCAUUUCUCUAUACCCGUUUAAUUUCAAUCAACCAGACAAUGUCUGAAAACUUUUUAAUACAUUGACCAGUUCAAGUAUCAAAAUUAAACAUGCGAAAUACAAUUCUAUUCAGAGGAAGCACGAACAAUUCCGCAGAUCACACAUUACUCCAAAAUAUCCCUCGGAUAACCAUCUGUCUAAAUAUCGAUAUCAAAAUGAACUCCAUCUCUUAAUAAACCCUAAAUCAUAAAAUAUCUAGCUAGUGUACAAGUCCCUCUAUUUAAUCUGGAACGAAACGUAAUAUAAUAUUUAAACUGUUUGACUACAACCGAAAAGAAAUUAACAAAUAAAGAAAUAUAUUUAGUCAAACAUCAAAUACAAAAUAAAAUGAAAUUUAAAUACAACUUACCAGUACGAAAGUUUUCCCAUUCUAAGAAAAACUGCUCUGACGGUUUAAUAUCCAAGUCUAACAUUGAGUUCAAGCACGGAAAACGUCCCGCGAAAAAGUGACCGACAAAUAGUUAUAUGAGUAUCUAAAAAUAGAAAAGGGAAUUACAUGACCACAAACGUUGCAAUAUGUAUGUAUACAUAUACAUAUACUUAUAUUAAGUGUCUCCUUUUUUAAAUAUUGAUGUUGUUUUUGUUAACAUAGUUUACACUGGAAUACUUUCUCUAUUAUUAGACUGCUGGGCUUUUGUGUUUUGUGGCAGUUGCAAAUAUUAUUCAAGAAGGUUUAUG